Molecule: long non-coding RNA, 333 nt
Organism: Epinephelus fuscoguttatus (brown-marbled grouper)
Lineage: Eukaryota; Metazoa; Chordata; Actinopteri; Perciformes; Serranidae
Exons: 3
Source: RefSeq, a predicted model, not a curated record
UGUUCCACAACAGGGAAGCCACGUUCGAGGGUUUUUACAAACCCAUUGCACCCACCACCAUAGUGGUGCUGGAUGAGCAUGGCCAGUAUCAACUUGGUGAACAAGUGUGCCUUCUGCCAAUCCCACCCCCAAAACAAAUUUGCUCCUGCGGUCCAAGCACAAACGUGACCAUCACCCCAGGAAAGCAGACUGUUGUGGUGACCAUCAAUGGAACAUACAACCUGUGCCUGCCUGCUGCUUCCUGUCGCGUUUGUUCAGGCAAAUGGACCCCAGGCACAAAUGACUUGCUGAGAUACAGAUACUGGCCAGCAACCUCCAGCUGCCAAAUGAUGU